UCGCGCGGAAGCCUGCCCCAGAGUUGGCCGAUUCCCAUUCUCCGCAAGGAGUGUCUGUCGACCCCCCAGGCUCGUCUCGAUAUCCGCACGACACGUCGCAGCACGGGGCCAGCCGGGUCUGAUGUGUCUGCCGCGCGUGGCACCGUCGUGCGAGAUUGGCCAGGUCCACCGGCUCAUGGGACCUGCCUGGGGGAAUGGUGUUUCGGAACUUAACCCUAACCUAGCACUUGGUUCGAGUGUUGCGCUCACAGUCGUCCAAGCCUGACCUUGUAAGCCUACGAGUGCGCUGUGUGCUGCGCUCGCUGAAAAGUGGAGUGUGCUAAACAGGCAUCCUGCGGUGGAAGGGCAGCCGGACAUUCCAGUCGCCUUUCGUGCGAGCGAGAGCCCUUGCUAUGAGUCGUCUGGUAAGAACUCCUGGCCUGGAGUCGCUCGUCAGCCUGGGCUGCUGGAACCCGUACUCUGGUCGCCCAAGAUCGUGUCGGUGGUGUUGCGUUGUGCUCACAGCUGGAAGAUGGACCUUUGGUUGUUAGCCGCUUACUGGAGGGCUCUCGUCUUCAUGACCGAGUCUCGUGCUCCCGAGGAUCCAAGGGAAGAACUCGUUGCUGGCUACACACGGACCGCAAGUCCUGGUUUCGCUUAUCUUUGCCUGCGACUUGUCUUCGCCAGAAUCACCAGGCCCCUCGUGGGGCUGGUGAGCGAAGCUCGCUCGGCUACCACAGAAACCACGCUGCUUGCUGGUCAUCUCUCUCUGCCGCAUCUCACGUUCUCGGUACCCUUGGUCCUUUUGUCACACUAGCAACCCGCGGCCGCUGGUGUCAAAGCCAGUGACGGCAAUACGCCUUAGACUCCAUCCACUUCAGUCAAAGCACUCUGCAACCUCCGAUGCCGUGUUUCGGCCACCGCCAUCAACACGUCGGAAACAGAGAUCAGACCAGGCGCAUUAACUACUCAUCGUGUCACGAUGCCAGUAGACGCCACAGCCCUCUCCGUCUGGUCUUCUGAUCAGCGGUGACCUUGCCCGUCUUGGCCAUGACAAUGGUCGGGAAUGGAGGAAAGUCCGGAUUUUAUGGAUGUAUUUUGACCGGCCGACAAUGCCCUCGUUGCUACACCCUCGUGUGUCCGAUCGAGCGGAAUCAAAAACCAGUCCUUGCUGGCAGCGCGUGCAACAGAGAGAGCUGGCGUCUAUCUACCAGGAUGCGAAAAGAACGUUUCGAACCUGCCGACUUCCAGAUGCUGACACCUUUGAGGACGUUCGGCGACUUACUUGAGGAGGCAACUGUCCUUGUGAGGUGUAUGUUAGGUGGCCCGAGACGGAGGCGCUGUUUGUUGCACGAAGCUAGGUUGGGACCCAUCUCGAGUUGGUGUCAAAGUUUCGUGCUUGUCCGGCCUUU
This 1391-nucleotide telomerase RNA is filed under the name Microdochium bolleyi. Its description in RNAcentral is "Ascomycota telomerase RNA". It matches the Rfam family "Ascomycota telomerase RNA", at positions 208 to 1701 of the family's 1858-position model. The record is from Rfam by way of RNAcentral. Lineage: Eukaryota; Fungi; Ascomycota; Sordariomycetes; Xylariales; Microdochiaceae.